UUUAUUGGAGAGUUUGAUCCUGGCUCAGGAUGAACGCUGGCGGCGUGCCUAAUACAUGCAAGUCGAGCGAACGGAUUAAGAGCUUGCUCUUAUGAAGUUAGCGGCGGACGGGUGAGUAACACGUGGGUAACCUGCCCAUAAGACUG
RNAcentral lists this ribosomal RNA (146 nucleotides) under Bacillus paranthracis. RNAcentral describes it as "partial 16S ribosomal RNA". It matches the Rfam family "Bacterial small subunit ribosomal RNA", at positions 1 to 140 of the family's 1533-position model. The record is from RNAcentral. Lineage: Bacteria; Bacillati; Bacillota; Bacilli; Caryophanales; Bacillaceae.